GAGAAGAACGUGGCUCUUUUUUUCUUUUUGGGAUUUUUUUCCAUUCUCAAAAUAAAAAUAAAAAUAAAAAUAAAUUAAAAUAGCUAAAACUAAUAAAUAUUUUAGCAAUUAAAAAAACAAAUCUAAAAUAAAAUUACUCCCAUAAACACACACGAAUAUUCGAAUCCAGAACCCAGAGGCAAAUUAGCAGAAAAUAAACCACCA
This 204-nucleotide long non-coding RNA is filed under the name Gossypium raimondii (Peruvian cotton). Its description in RNAcentral is "long non-coding RNA (GRAI_LNC007259)". Lineage: Eukaryota; Viridiplantae; Streptophyta; Magnoliopsida; Malvales; Malvaceae. The record is from RNAcentral.